GCCACCCUAGCUCAAUUGGCAGAGCAACUGUUUUGUAAACAGUAGGUUAUCAGUUCGAUUCUGAUGGGUGGCU
This 73-nucleotide transfer RNA is filed under the name bacterium. RNAcentral's name for it is "tRNA-Thr". It matches the Rfam family "tRNA". From Rfam's summary of the family: Transfer RNA (tRNA) molecules are approximately 80 nucleotides in length. The record is from RNAcentral.